CGGGUGUAGCUCAGGGGUAGAGCGCAACCUUGCCAAGGUUGAAGUCGUGGGUUCAAAUCCCACCACCC
Molecule: transfer RNA, 68 nt
Filed under: marine eukaryotic metagenome
Rfam family: tRNA
About the family: Transfer RNA (tRNA) molecules are approximately 80 nucleotides in length. Their secondary structure includes four short double-helical elements and three loops (D, anti-codon, and T loops).
Source: RNAcentral